AACGAACGCUGGCGGCAUGCUUAACACAUGCAAGUCGAACGCUUUGUCUGGUUUCGGCCGGACAAGGAGUGGCGCACGGGUGAGUAGCGCGUGGGAACCUGCCCUCUUGUGGGGGAUAACCGUGGGAAACUGCGGCUAAUACCGCAUAAGCCCGGGAGCGGUCUUUGGAUUGGCUUUUGGGGAAAGAUUUAUCGCGAGAGGAGGGGCCCGCGUCGGAUUAGCUUGUUGGUGGGGUAACGGCCUACCAAGGCGAUGAUCCGUAGCUGGUCUGAGAGGA
This 277-nucleotide ribosomal RNA is filed under the name uncultured bacterium. RNAcentral's name for it is "partial 16S ribosomal RNA". It matches the Rfam family "Bacterial small subunit ribosomal RNA", at positions 29 to 300 of the family's 1533-position model. The record is from RNAcentral.